GAUGAACGCUGGCGGCGUGCUUAACACAUGCAAGUCGAACGGAAAGGCCAGUGCUUGCACUGGUACUCGAGUGGCGAACGGGUGAGUAACACGUGGGUGAUCUGCCCUGUACUUCGGGAUAAGCUUGGGAAACUGGGCCUAAUACCGGAUAGGACAACCUUUUGGAUAUUGUUGUGGAAAGCUUUUGCGGUAUGGGAUGAGCUCGCGGCCUAUCAGCUUGUUGGUGGGGUAAUGGCCUACCAAGGCGUCGUCGCGUAGCCGGCCUGUGAGGGUGUACGGCCACCUUGGGACUGAGAUACGGCACAGACUCCUACGGGAGGCAGCAGUGGGGAAUAUUGCACAAUGGGCGCAAGCCUGAUGCAGCGACGCCGCGUGUGGGAUGAAGGUUUUCGGGGUGUAAACACCUUUCGCCAAAGACCAAGCGUAAGUGACGGUACCUGGAGAAGAAGCACCGGCUAACUACGUG
This 466-nucleotide ribosomal RNA is filed under the name uncultured bacterium. Its description in RNAcentral is "partial 16S ribosomal RNA". It matches the Rfam family "Bacterial small subunit ribosomal RNA", at positions 28 to 507 of the family's 1533-position model. The record is from RNAcentral.